Molecule: ribosomal RNA, 75 nt
Filed under: Fervidobacterium pennivorans
Lineage: Bacteria; Thermotogati; Thermotogota; Thermotogae; Thermotogales; Fervidobacteriaceae
Description: partial 23S ribosomal RNA
Source: RNAcentral
GAUAGUGUUAACUUGUAGUGAUGAAAGAAUGCAGUUGUGAAAGAAUGCGAUUGAUAUUACCAUUGUGCGUUUUCC